RNAcentral lists this unclassified non-coding RNA (375 nucleotides) under uncultured Pseudomonadota bacterium. Its description in RNAcentral is "uncultured proteobacterium contains 16S-23S intergenic spacer region". Lineage: Bacteria; Pseudomonadati; Pseudomonadota. The record is from RNAcentral.
UCCGGUUCGUCACCGGCAGUCUCCUUAGAGUCCCCACCAUUACGUGUUGGCAACUAAGGAUAAGGGUUGCGCUCGUUACGGGACUUAACCCAACAUCUCACAACACGAGCUGACGACAGCCAUGCAGCACCUGUCUCUAAGUUCCUUUCGGCACUCUCGUAUCUCUACAAGAUCCUUAGGAUGUCAAGGGUAGGUAAGGUUCUUCGCGUUGUAUCGAAUUAAACCACAUGCUCCACCGCUUGUGCAGGCCCCCGUCAAUUCCUUUGAGUUUCGGUCUUGCGACCGUACUCCCCAGGCGGAGUGUUUCACGCGUUAGCUGGGCCCCUGAUCCACGUAGACCAAGGGCGAACACUCAUCGUUUACGGCAUGGACUAC